GUAAUCAAAAAAUCAAUCUUUACUUAUCUGUGCAAUACUUACCAGUGGUAUAAAGGGGCUCAUACAUGUUCUAUUUAUAGGCAUCCACUGUGAAAACACCCACCACAGAAAGUUCAGAGGUGCCCCCACUUGAGGCCUUGUUAAAUAUGUCUUUAAAUGGAAAUGUUGAAAUAGAGGAUUUUAAUCUUACAGCUGGUCAAACAGGACCCGUCCACAUGUGUGAGAUUCUCGGGCUGCAAGCUGGUGAAAUAGCUUAUACCUCUCCACGAAAGAGAUGCAAAGCUAUGGAUAUGCUAGUGCGAUCUACAGUUUUUGCAAUUUUGAGACAUUGUUUAAACCAAUACCUGCAUGAAACCUGCAUAGGGUGUACUUUGAAGGCGGCUGGGCAAUCCGCACACGAGUGUCUAGUCUGGCCCAAAAGUGUCAUAUCUAGAAAAUUGCUAAUUGUAUGUGGGAAAAUCAGUUUUAAAAGCAUAUUACAUGUUGUCAUUCUAAUUGGUUACAGUUUAAACUGUCUUGUUCUCACACCAAGGCAUGUUGAUCAAAUUUUGAUAUUAAUUAUGAAAAUUGGAAGGUCACACAACGCCUUGAAAACAUUAAAUACACUCCUGAGACCAGUA
Long non-coding RNA from Elgaria multicarinata webbii, 620 nucleotides. RefSeq lists it as uncharacterized. Lineage: Eukaryota; Metazoa; Chordata; Lepidosauria; Squamata; Anguidae. The record is from RefSeq and is a predicted model, not a curated record. The transcript is spliced from 2 exons.